UCUUGGCAACUCUUGACACCAAAUCCACACACUUCACUCUUUCCUCCUUCCUCAAAUCAAUUCCCUUUCUUGUCAAUACACUCUCAUUCAAAUUUGCUUUUCUCUCUUCCGUUCUACUCGUUCUCUUCACCCACCGCCCUAAUUAUCACUCUACAAAUUACAAUUUCCUUAUUCACAAAUCCUUCAAAUUUGAUUCCCUCAAUUUCAUGUCCGGGUUGUAUAACGAUAUGAUUUCUUCUUGUGUUUCCCUUGUUACUUAUACAUUCAUUCUUCUCAAUUAUGGGUUGUGUCAUUCCGAGUUGUCCGCCAACUGUUUGGUGCUAUGCCUGAAAAAGGGUGUUACCCCAAUGCCUGAUGGGUUGUGUGAUCUUCUUGAGAAGAUUUUAGGAUGCUUGCCCUUGCGCGACGCUAUAAGGACAAGUGUUAGUGUGUUCAGAAUUAGUGUUUGACGCUAACAUUGACAAGCAACUCUUGAAAACUAUAAUUUACCAUAUUUUGUUAAUCCAUCAGGGACCACUACAGAAAUUUACCCUCGUGGUCUCUAACUCCGAGUCCAAGCUUUCUCCUUAUAUUGAUCACUGGAUUCUGUUUCUGUCGAAGAAAAAGGUCCACAAAUUCUCUCUUAAAAGCAUGAACCUUUGUCUUCCUUCUCACCUAUUCAAAUUUCAACAUCUAAGGCUCCCGGAGCUUUUUUGUUGUAAAUUUCAACAUUUAGUUGCUUGUUACCCUAGACUUUCCGCCUUCGAGCCUGCUUCUUUUCAAACCCUCCUUUGUAGUAUCCUAUUAUUUGAACGUGUAAGGUUAAUUUGCCGCAUUCCAUUUGAUAGCUUCAUUGUUCAUGCCCCUAGUCUCAAAGGCCGAGAAGCAAAAUCCAUUCGCUUAAAUAGGUUGAUUUUCUACGGCUUCUUCUGACAAUUAAUCAUUCUUCAUAACCUGAGUGUUAUACCUCCAAGGAUUUUGAUCCUGUGGACUCUGUUGUCUUACAUCUCUUACAAUCCCAACGGGUGCCACUGAAGCAGCUCAAAAAGAUUGACAUGUAGUGCAUGGUUCUCAAGUAUGUAUUGUCGUCUGCAACUGCGCUCAAGAAAAUAUUCGUUGGGACUUAUGAACGCUGCAAUCAUCGGGGAAUGAAAAUGAUGGAGGAGAUGAAGCAGAUACUUUCAACAUUCAAUUUACAACUCUAGUGUGAUGUGCUUUCGCAUAGAAUAGAAAGUACAAACACUUUCGAUGAGGGGUGGGGUGAAAGGUCGUAUGCAGUCAUCAAGGAGUUUGGAACAGGGCAAAUAUAGUGCAAAUAUUGUGAAUUUUCACUGUUAUGUAGAGAUAUGUACAAACAGAAUCAUGUCAUGAACCCAUAAAGGCAAAAGCACUUGUUAAUCUAGUUUAUCGUGAUGCUUGAUUAAUAUUAUAUUCUUCUGUAGGAUUUAGGAUCUAAAGUGGAAAAGAUUAAUACAGGACGAAAAGAUUGUUAUGGCUACUGAGAUUUGAUCGCAAAAGUUUGUUAUUGUUUUCCUGGCAAAAAAGAAACAUGUGCUUCUUUGCAUGCUCAUGUCUCUAUGUUUACAACUCUCAAUUGAUAUCCUCCUACUUUCUCUAUUCCUAAACUGACACGCUUGUGUACUUCCAUAUUUGCUGAUCAUGUCAUAUUAUUACUUUUCUCUAUUUGGAAAAUCACAUAUAUAAAAGCUACUGAUAACUGAAUCAUUAUGUCCAUUAAUAUGAGUGGAAGAGCCCGGCUGCAGAUAGAAUUAGCAGUUUGCCUUGCGAUAUUCUUGAGAAGGUAUUAGGCAGCUUGCCUUUGCAUGAUGCUGUAAGGGCAAGUGUUGUAUCAAGACUAUGGAAGUACAACUGGCUAGGAUGUUCGGAAACAGUGUUUGACGAUCUCCUUGUCAAGCAGAUUGUUCGUUCGUUAAAAGGUAACUCCUUUGAUUGGUACACAAACUUGGAUCCUGAGUCAAUUGAUUGUUGGGAUCAAUUUGAAAGUCGGCUGCUCAAUCGUUUUUACAGCACUCAUCGUACAAUGAGCAUGAUGGAGUUAACAAACACCAAACAAAGUAAACAUGAGCUCGUUGGCCCUGGAGGAUGAUUUGGAAGACAAAAGCUCCAUUAAAGGUAGUAUGCUUUGGAUGGAUAGCAACUUCGAGAAGGCAUGUUUGACCCAAGAUAAUUUGUAGAAAAGAGGUUUUAGCCUAUGUAAUAGAUGCUAUCUAUAAACCCAGGAAACAGUGAAUGUGUUGGGAAAUGUUUUUAAGCAUGUGUGGCAUAUCCUGGGUGAUGCCACAGACUGUGAGGAGCUUGUUGGUAGAGUGGCAAUCCCUAAGGGCACCUAGAAAACUGAAGCAAAUAUGGAGGACCAUCCCAUUGUGCAUCCUUUGGACCGUAUGGCUGGAAAGGAACAAGGCUUUUUUUGAAGGGCAUAGAAAUCAUAUUUCUAGAAUUAAAAAUUAAGUGUAUUCACAACCUAUAUUAUUGGUGUAGGUGUAGUUCUCCAGUGAAUGUGCAUCAGUUUCUGGAUUUUCUAGAUUUUUUGGGAGGGAUGUAAGUCUUGUUUUUUGUUCCGGCAUGUUUCCUUUAACAUUAUGUACCAUCUUGGUACCUUAUUAAUAAAAUUUUACCUUAUCCAAAGCUCGUUGUGGACUACAUCAAUCGCUGGUGAAUGUUGAGCUUAGAUUGCAAGGAUCAACUCUAAGAAACUUUUGCAGAUGAGAUUUGUAUCCUAGGAAUACAUUGGGGUCUCGUGUAUAUCUUGCAAGGGCUUAAGCCUCACAUUUUUGAGCUAUACGCGCUCAUGACAUGGAGUGGAGUAUUGCAAGCCAUGGAAUGGCAUCACCUGUCUUUGAUCCAAGCUGUAAAGUUAUGACCAGUAAUCCAUUAUUACCGUUGCGUCUUUUGGGGGGUCGUUGUCGUUGGAAAAUUGGGUAAGCAAAUCUCAAGUUCAUUACGGAUGGCCUUGUCCGUGCAAAGUGUCUGCGAGUCUGAGGUCUUCUGUAAUCACCAUCUUGGCUGAUGGCUCAAUCAUAGCUGUGUACUCUGCUAUUGUGAACCUGCAUGGGAAGAAAGGAGAAAAGGACAAAAAAAAAAAAUACUACACGAGAGGGAUAUUAGAGAACUUCAUGCGGAUUAAGUUCCAGUAUCAGCUAUGGUGCUUGGCCUAGUUCGGCAGCAAGGCUCCUCCAUUGUCAUUGUAGACUGCUACAAUAAGAAUGUCGAUUGCGAAGACUCCAAGAAGAUGUUGUGGAGCACACCUUGCUUCACCUUGCAGCUUUACUGAUGUGAUAAUGCAAAAGAAAUUGAAGACAUGUUGAAGACUUCAUGUUGAGUUGUAACCCGUUGAAUGGGUUUGAGUCCUUUUUAUAGGCAUUGCACGAAGCAAAAGAUGAAUUCUAAUUGAAAACAAAGACAUCUCAGUAGUUAUCAUUUUAAGAUUUUGGUUGCGGUGUUCAAACUGAAAUAGGAUGGGAGAAAAUCUUGUUUCAAUGAAACACGAAAAUGGAUUAGUGGAAAAUGCAAGGAGAAAGGAACAUGGCCUUAUCUCAAGAGGAUCUUAUUUUCAUAUGGACGGAGAAAAGGUAUAGUAUUCGUUGAUACUUCAAGUCUUGAAUGAGGGCCAUCUGUAAACACUUAAAAAUUUAUUGGGGAUCCAUACUAAAUUUGGAUUAAAACUUAAAUUUAUUGGGGAUCCAUACUAAAUUUGGAUUAAAACUUAAAUUUAUUUGGGUUGAAUAAUUAAUUUGGACUUCACAAAUUAAAUAAGUCCAUUUUAUUAUUUUUAAGCUCAAGUUCCUUUAAUCUGAAGGCCCAAACUCAUGUCACGUAUUCAAUGAUAUGACCUUGCAGUCAAAUCCAAGGCCAACGAGACGAUUCCAUGUGUUUAAGUGAUGUGUCAUCUCUCAGUCAAAACAAGGACCAAUGAAAAGUCAUAAAGUGGCCAAAAUGAUACUGUCUUGGACGAUUACAUACAACUUUAUCACAUGGCUUUUGUGAUAAGUUUGAUGACGCUAAUGAGCCAAUAAAAAUCCUCCAAGAGAGUUCAUAAAUAUUUGGACUGUCUACCCUCUACAUCUAUAAAUAUGGAAACUACAUAACUCUUUGGGGAUCCAUUCAGAGACCACUGAAGAAAGCACUCCAUGGUGAAGGUAUCCGCAACCAGAAAAGUUCAACAUCAAGUACAUAUAGUUCUUCGAAGAAGUGGUCAACGGAGUUCUUCCUGAGAUCAAACCAAAACAACGAAGUGCUACCCCAUUUUUUCGGAGAUCAAGUACAUCUCCACACGGAGUAUUGUAAAAUAGUAACAGAAUGGUGGAUUUCCAUAUUCCACCUCAUCAUAUGAAUUACUCCAAUACUUUAUUUCUAUAACUCCCUUAAAUGUUAAUACUCUUGUUCAUGCAUCAUUUAAUAUUUUAAAUAUAAUCCUAUAAAUAGAGAUUUUGAGAAUCAUGUUGGAUGUAGUUUUCAAUCUUAUUCUCUUAUUUUAUUAUGAUCUCCUUCUAUUUUACAACGGCAAUUCAUUUCUCAAAAUCUCUCCCUUUUGUUUUUUCAUUAGAGAAGCAAGAAAUUAUAGAUAGUAAAAAUAUCAAUCUAUCUGUCAUGCAUGCUGCUAAGCAUUAAGCGAGGUGUUAAAACACCAAAAGUCACUCCAGCAAAAACUGAAACGAAGACACUUAAAAGUAGAGGCAACUUUCAAUCUCUCAAAGGACUCUGCUACAGAGUUGUCAUUGAAUAAAUAUGUCCAUUGAUAUGAGUAGUACGAGCCCUGCUGAAGAUAGAAUUAGCAGUUUGCCUUGUGAUAUUCUUGAGAAGAUUUAAGGAUGCUUGCCCUUGCGUGAUGCUAUAAGGACAAGUGUUUUGUCAAAACAAUGGAGUGACAAAUGGGUUGUACUUUCAGAAUUAGCUUUUGACAAAGCUAACGUUGAUAGAGGACUCUUGAAAACAAUUAUUUACCACGUUCUGCUGAUCCAUCUAAGACCACUACAGAAAUUUAGCCUCCUGAUCUCUAGCUCUGAACUUUUUCCUGAUAUUGAUCACUGGAUUCUGUUUCUGUUGAAGAAAAACGUCCAAGAAUUCUCACUUAGAUUUCUUAAAAGCAAGGACUUUCGUCUCCCUUAUCACCUACUCAAAUUUCAGGAUCUAAGGCAUCUGAAGAUUUGCAGAUGUAAAUUCUACCCUCCUCCCAACUUUAGAGCUUUUAGUACGCUUGCUACCCUUAACUUUUGGUUUGUGAAUUUCGAGCCCACGUCACUUCAGACCCUCCUUUCAAAUAGCCCGUUACUUGAACGUGUGACUGUGAUUUUCUGCACUCCAUUUGAUAGCUUCAUUGUUCAUGCCCCUAGUCUCAAAUUCUUUGAAUUUAGUUGAAGAGCAAAUUCCAUUUGCUUCAUGAAAACCCCUCUGCUUGAGGAAAUUGUAUUGGGCCUGCUUUUUAAGAAGUCCUUUGCAGUACCAGAGUCUCAACUGACACUACACAACAUCAAAAUUUUAAAGUUUAAGAGAUCGAUCCUUGAUAAAGUUGAGUGGGUUGCAUAUGCUCUUUACUUGAUCAACCGCUGCCCCAACUUAGAAAGGCUCCAAAUUACGAUAUGUCUCACUUUCAUCUUUUAAUUGUAAAUAGUUGAUUUACUGCGUCUUCUUCUGACAUUUAAUCAUAACCCAUCUUUUCUUACUUUCUCAAGUCUUAUGGCCUUGACGAUCCUGUGGAGCCUGUGAUACAUAUCUUGCGAUCCCAAGAAAUGCCACAUAGUCCACAAGCAGCUCAAAAGUGUGGAUAUGAUCCUCAUGCAGGGUAAUAAAGCUGAAAUGGAAUUCUUGAAGUAUUUAUUGUCAUCUGCAAGUGCACUCGAGAAAGUAUGUGUUGUGACUCGUGAAAGAUUGAGUCAUAGGCGAAUGGCAAUGAUGGAGGAGAUGAAGCAAUUCCCUCGAGCAUCACCCAAUGUAGAAUUUCUAUACAAAGAAAGUGGAUUUUCCGUUAAGAAAUUAGAAUGAUAUGAACAUAAAUACCAGGUUUUUGUCUAUGGUAGUAUUCUAACAUGUGACUUAACCAUACAUCAAGCCCUGUGCUCUUAUCACUGGACCAAAUCCUUGAGGGCAAAAUUCCCCAGUUUUAUUGGAACCUUUUUUUCUUCCAAAAAAAGGAAAAAUUUAUUAGAUAUGGGGUAGGGGAAGGGGAAAUGGGGGAGGGGAUUACAACAUGGGAACCUAUUUCUGCUUACCGAUGUAUUAAUUUUUUGUGGUUUCCUUUGCUGUAUAUUCAGAAAACAACCACAACCACAAAAACUUGUUUUUGCCUUCUUGCUCUAACAAUUUUUAGGUUUACAAGGGUGGCCAUUCUUAUUUUCUCUAAUGCUUGUAUUGAUGCAUUAUGUGCUUAUUUUACCUAAGGUCAACUUGUU
Lycium barbarum (goji berry) is the source of this 6386-nucleotide long non-coding RNA. RefSeq lists it as uncharacterized. The record is from RefSeq and is a predicted model, not a curated record. Lineage: Eukaryota; Viridiplantae; Streptophyta; Magnoliopsida; Solanales; Solanaceae. The transcript is spliced from 4 exons.